CCUACGGGGUGCAGCAGUGAGGAAUAUUGGUCAAUGGACGAGAGUCUGAACCAGCCAAGUAGCGUGAAGGAAGAAGGCUUUCGGGUUGUAAACUUCUUUUGACAGGGAAGAGUAGAAGACGGUACCUGUCGAAUAAGCCACGGCUAACUACGUGCCAGCAGCCGCGGUAAUACGUAGUUGGCAAGCGUUGUCCGGAUUUACUGGGGGUAAAGGGCGUGUAGCCGGGUUGACAAGUCAGAUGUGAAAUCCUGCGGCUUAACCGCAGAACUGCAUUUGAAACUGUGGAUCUUGAGUACUGGAGAGGCAGACGGAAUUCCUAGUGUAGCGGUGAAAUGCGUAGAUAUUAGGCGGAACACCAGUGGCGAAGGCGGUCUGCUGGACAGCAACUGACGGUGAGGCGCGAAAGCGUGGGGAGCAAACAGGAUUAGAUACCCCAGUAGUC
This 442-nucleotide ribosomal RNA is filed under the name uncultured bacterium. RNAcentral describes it as "partial 16S ribosomal RNA". It matches the Rfam family "Bacterial small subunit ribosomal RNA", at positions 338 to 795 of the family's 1533-position model. The record is from RNAcentral.